RNAcentral lists this transfer RNA (77 nucleotides) under Polyangiaceae bacterium. RNAcentral's name for it is "tRNA-Met". It matches the Rfam family "tRNA". Rfam says of the family: Transfer RNA (tRNA) molecules are approximately 80 nucleotides in length. RNAcentral also lists the same sequence under 4 other names. Lineage: Bacteria; Pseudomonadati; Myxococcota; Polyangiales; Polyangiaceae. The record is from RNAcentral.
GGCGGAGUAGCUCAGUCGGCUAGAGCAGGCGUUUCAUACGCGCCGGGUCGGGGGUUCGAUUCCCUCCUCCGCCACCA